Molecule: transfer RNA, 71 nt
Filed under: Cidaroida sp. MNHN IE-20
Lineage: Eukaryota; Metazoa; Echinodermata; Echinoidea; Cidaroida
Description: tRNA-Thr
Rfam family: tRNA
About the family: Transfer RNA (tRNA) molecules are approximately 80 nucleotides in length. Their secondary structure includes four short double-helical elements and three loops (D, anti-codon, and T loops).
Source: RNAcentral
GCCUUAAAAGCUAAUAGCCNAGCGCCUGGUCUUGUAAACCAGCGAGGAAGGUUAAAAUCCCUCUUAAGGCU